RNAcentral lists this ribosomal RNA (497 nucleotides) under uncultured bacterium. RNAcentral describes it as "partial 16S ribosomal RNA". It matches the Rfam family "Bacterial small subunit ribosomal RNA", at positions 28 to 507 of the family's 1533-position model. The record is from RNAcentral.
GAUGAACGCUGGCGGCGUGCCUAAUACAUGCAAGUCGAGCGAACGGACUAGAAGCUUGCUUCUCUUAUGUUAGCGGCGGACGGGUGAGUAACACGUGGAUAACCUACCUAUAAGACUGGGAUAACUUCGGGAAACCGUAGCUAAUACCGGAUAAUAUUUUGAACCGCAUGGUUCAAAAGUGAAAGACGGUCUUGCUGUCACUUAUAGAUGGAUCCGCGCUGCAUUAGCUAGUUGGUAAGGUAACGGCUUACCAAGGCAACGAUGCAUAGCCGACCUGAGAGGGUGAUCGGCCACACUGGAACUGAGACACGGUCCAGACUCCUACGGGAGGCAGCAGUAGGGAAUAUUCCGCAAUGGGCGAAAGCCUGACGGAGCAACGCCGCGUGAGUGAUGAAGGUCUUCGGAUCGUAAAACUCUGUUAUUAGGGAAGAACAUAUGUGUAAGUAACUGUGCACAUCUUGACGGUACCUAAUCAGAAAGCCACGGCUAACUACGUG